Molecule: ribosomal RNA, 158 nt
Filed under: Schizophyllum commune
Lineage: Eukaryota; Fungi; Basidiomycota; Agaricomycetes; Agaricales; Schizophyllaceae
Description: 5.8S ribosomal RNA
Rfam family: 5.8S ribosomal RNA
About the family: 5.8S ribosomal RNA (5.8S rRNA) is a component of the large subunit of the eukaryotic ribosome. It is transcribed by RNA polymerase I as part of the 45S precursor that also contains 18S and 28S rRNA. Functionally, it is thought that 5.8S rRNA may be involved in ribosome translocation.
Source: RNAcentral
UACAACUUUCAGCAGCGGAUCUCUUGGCUCUCGCAUCGAUGAAGAACGCAGCGAAAUGCGAUAAGUAAUGUGAAUUGCAGAAUUCAGUGAAUCAUCGAAUCUUUGAACGCACCUUGCGCUCCUUGGUAUUCCGAGGAGCAUGCCUGUUUGAGUGUCAU